GGAUGAAUGGCCGAGUGGUCGAAGGCAUCAGUUUUGAAAACUGACAUACGGAAGUAUCGGGGGUUCGAAUCCCUCUUCAUCCG
Molecule: transfer RNA, 83 nt
Filed under: Prasinoderma coloniale
Lineage: Eukaryota; Viridiplantae; Prasinodermophyta; Prasinodermophyceae; Prasinodermales; Prasinodermaceae
Description: tRNA-Ser
Rfam family: tRNA
About the family: Transfer RNA (tRNA) molecules are approximately 80 nucleotides in length. Their secondary structure includes four short double-helical elements and three loops (D, anti-codon, and T loops).
Source: RNAcentral